RNAcentral lists this microRNA (18 nucleotides) under Haemonchus contortus (barber pole worm). Its description in RNAcentral is "hco-miR-5980". The record is from miRBase by way of RNAcentral. Lineage: Eukaryota; Metazoa; Nematoda; Chromadorea; Rhabditida; Trichostrongylidae.
AGGCACCUACAGAACUAU